This is a small nuclear RNA of Polypterus senegalus (gray bichir), 162 nucleotides long. RefSeq annotates it as U1 spliceosomal RNA. Lineage: Eukaryota; Metazoa; Chordata; Cladistia; Polypteriformes; Polypteridae. The transcript has a single exon. The record is from RefSeq and is a predicted model, not a curated record.
AUAAUGUGGCAGGGGAGAUGAUACCAUGAUCACUAAGGUGGUUCUUCCAGGGCGAGUCUCAUCCUUUGUACUAUGGGUGUGCUGACCCCUACAAUUUCCCCAAAUCGGGGAAACUCAACUGCAUAAUUUUUAGAAGUGGAACACUGCAUUUGCGCUCUCCCC